Molecule: long non-coding RNA, 320 nt
Filed under: Gossypium raimondii (Peruvian cotton)
Lineage: Eukaryota; Viridiplantae; Streptophyta; Magnoliopsida; Malvales; Malvaceae
Description: long non-coding RNA (GRAI_LNC001893)
Source: RNAcentral
AAGAGUUAAUUACCAGCAGGUACAUGCUUGGAACAACAUUAAGGAGAGGAGAAUGAACCUGGCAUGCUUAUUCUGCUCAAGGCUCCUCGUGAGCAUCAAAAGACACCAUUCAAAGCUAUUCGUAUAGUUCAAUGGUCAGCCAAGCAUUGAAGACAUUCCAUGAAUCUUUCCAGCUGAGUUAACACCAUCUAGAAGCUAUCCAUUCAAGUCUUACAAGCUAAGAAACUUCCCUUGGACGUUCUAGGAAGCUACAUGGAAUUUUCCAGCCUAAUUAGCAUUUAUUUUGCUGACCAUUCAGCAUCUUUGCUUGUCUAUUCGGC